Molecule: long non-coding RNA, 390 nt
Filed under: Nicotiana benthamiana
Lineage: Eukaryota; Viridiplantae; Streptophyta; Magnoliopsida; Solanales; Solanaceae
Description: long non-coding RNA (NBEN_LNC002110)
Source: RNAcentral
UGAGAAUCUAUAGAGAAGUAAUUGACCUGAACUAUACCACCCGUCUCUGAUCCAAUUUCAUCAUCGAGGCCGUUCGUGUUUCCGGCUGAGGCAGCAGUAAUUAACGCUUCAGAGUCGGAGUUGGGGUUCGGCUGAAGUAUCUCCCAAUCUUGAAACUCUGCUGUCUCAACAUCCAUGGCUCGGACGAUCAAACCCUAAAUUAGGAAAGAGAACUACAGAGCGAGAGAAGAGAGAGGAAAAGGGUUUUUUGAAUAGAAUCAACUACCUUCGGAUUGGGGGGUCACCCCUGGAAAUGACACCUCACCCUAUGGUCCCAAAUAUCUACUUCUUUAAUUGUGCAUUUUUAUCUACUUGACGUGUGGAUAUUAUUUGAACUGCUCCUGCUAUCCC